Molecule: non-coding RNA, 4021 nt
Organism: Ictidomys tridecemlineatus (thirteen-lined ground squirrel)
Lineage: Eukaryota; Metazoa; Chordata; Mammalia; Rodentia; Sciuridae
Source: RefSeq, a predicted model, not a curated record
ACCUAGCCCCCUUCACCUGUGUCACAGUUAACUCAAGACACGCUCCUAGCUCUCUCCCAGAAUUCCUCAUUGGGACCCACCCACAGUGGUAACUGGCUUGAUGACACACCCUCCCUGGCUCCAGAGUUUCCUACCGUCUCCUCCUACAUACACUACUAGUUGACAGUCACUCCGUUCCUUGUUUCAGGGCCUGCUUUCUUUCAGAGGUACCCAAGCUGAAACACUCAGUUCCACUUCUCCUGCCUGCGUGUGAAUAGCUAGGCCCCCCCGGCAUACCAUCUUUCUGGAGUGAUUUUGAACUAAUACUGAUCUGGGGAAUCCACCAGCUGAAGUGGUUUUUAUUUCAGCCUGAGGUUCUUUCUCUUUGGAAACUCUGCACCCAAGGUCUUUAAACCACACUCUAAGCUGAUCCACACAAACUGGGGAGCCCGCUGGGAUGUGUUUUCUAAAAACGGAUUUCCAAGAAUUUCUUACUUGCGGUCUUUAUUUCCAUUUAGUGACUUGAAUUCUUACACAAACAUAAAGCAAGUACUGGUUGCACAGGUCUUUGCUGAAUCCCCCCCAGGUGCUGUGUAAGCAACCACGGUGAUCCUUGUCAUCAAGGAUCUGGUCUCUGUCAUGAUGUCUGUUAGAGUUCCCCCAGGACUUAUCACCUCGCUAUGGAAACCAAAAACUGUUCUCUGCAAUGCCCCAAAAAUGCUACCAGCAAAGCAAUCCUACCAAGCACUUGUAUGUUUUUAAAGUGAAUCUCGGAGAUCACUGGAGAGAAGAAUGUCAAAGCCACAGAUGCAUGCAAAAGAAAUGCAGAAGAAGCAGCAAGCCCAGGUGUUAGCAUUCGAGGACUCCCUGAUGGAGUUCGGGUCAGCGAAAGAGUGUCAUCUGAGGCAACUCCAGCAACUGAAGAAAAAACUGCUGGCCCUUCAGCGAGAACUAGAGUUUCGCACCGAUGAAUUACAGACUUCCUACUGCUCCCUCCUGCAGUACCAGUCCAUCUUGGAGAAGCAGACAUCUGACCUGGUUAUACUGCACCAUCACUGCAAGCUGAAAGAAGAUGAGGUGAUUCUCUAUGAGGAGGAAAUGGGAAAUCAUGAGAACGCAGGGGAGAAGCUCCAUUUGGCACAGGAGCAGCUUGCCUUGGCCGGGGACAAGAUCAUCUCCCUCGAAAGGAGCCUGAACCUCUACAGGGAUAAAUACCAGACUUCCCUGAGCAACAUCGAGUUGCUGGAGUGCCAAGUGAAGAUGCUGGAAGGCGAGCUCAGCGGACUCAUCAGUCAGGAGCCUGAGAACAAGGGUGACCACUCAAAGGUGCGUCUAUACCCUUCUCCCUGCAUGAUUCAAGAGCACCAGGAGACCAUGAAGCGACUGUCUGAAGUCUGGCAGAAGGUCUCUGAGCAGGAUGAUCUAAUCCAGGAGCUUCGAAAUAAACUGGCCUGCAGUAAUGCUUUGGUUCUGGAGCGUGAAGAGGCUUUGAUAAAGUUACAAGCAGACUUUGCUUCUUACACAGCUACCCACAGACAUCCUCCCUGCACUGCAGAAGACUGUGAGGACAUCAAAAAGAUACUGAAGCACCUGCAGGAACAGAAAGACAGCCAGUGCCUGCACGUGGAGGAGUACCAGAGCCUCGUGAAGGACCUGAGCACGGAACUGGAGGCCGUGUCAGAACAGAAGAAAAACAUCAUGAAGGACAUGAUGAAGCUGGAGCUGGACCUGCAUGGGCUGCGGGAGGAGACGUCCACCCACAUGGAGAGGAAGGACAAAGAGUCUGCCCUCCUGCAGCACCGGCUGCAGGAGUUGCAGCUGCAGUUCACUGAGACCCAGAAGCUGGCAAUCGUGAAAGAAAAGUUACUCCAAGAAAAGGAUGAAAUGCUGAACGAGCUGGAGAAGAAGCUGGCGCAGGUGCAGAACAGCCUCCUGAAGAAGGAGGUGGAGAUGGAGGAGCAGCAUUGCCUGAUGAGGGAACUCGAAAUCACCUUCAAGGAGAAAGCCAGGAUGGAGUACGCGGCCCUGCAAGGCGAGAUCCAGAAGCUGAGCGACGCUCUUGAGGACACCAAACAGCAGCACAGGCUGGCAGCUCAGCAAGCAGCCCAGUACAAGGAAGAGGCCUUGCAGGCGGGGAACACUCUGGAGGAUACCCAGAGGAAGCUGCAGGACUGCAUUUAUCUAGACCAGCAGAAAGCAGACACCAUCCAGGAUCUACAGAGAGAGGUGCAGAGGCUGCAGGCAGAAUCCGUAGCAGCUGGAGAGGAGCUGGCAAGCAACAGGAAACAGAUAGAUGAGCUGACCUCAAACCUCUCUGAUACCCUGGGGAAGCUGGAAAACUCAGACAAGGAAAAGAAGCAGUUGCAGAAGGCAGCAGAAGAGCAAGACCAGAAAUUAAAUGACAUGCAGGACCAGGUCAAACUUGUUCAGUACCAGAACAGGGACCUAUUAGGUGCCAAAAACAAGCUAGAAGAGGAGAUACCAGAGCUAACACAGACACUGAAGGACAAACGGGAGCAGUUGAAAAAGAGCAAAGAAAACGAGAAGCUUUUGGAGGAUGAAAUUGAGGCUCUGCGACAGGAGGAUAAAAAGAAGGAAAAGAUGUUGAGAGAAAAUUUGAGGAAACAGGAGGAGGAGAAAGGAAAUCUCCAAGAGGAGCUGAAGCAAUGUGCUACGCAGCUGGAAGUUUCUCUCAGCAAGUACAACGCCUCCCAGCAACUCAUCGAGGAGCUCAACUUAGAGAUGGCCCAACACAAGGAUGCCAUAGCGAAUCUGCAAGCCCAGCUGGACAAGGCGUUGCAGAAGGAGAAGCACUGCAUGCAGACCAUGGUGGCUAAAGAAAUCUAUGAUAACUUAUGCCGGAAGUCAACCACCUGCCAGGAUGACCUGACGCAAGCCCUGGAGAAGCUCAAUCAAGUGACCUCCGAGACAAAGAACCUGCAACGAAGCUUGUUACAGGCCCAAGACAAGAAAGCUCACCUGGAGGAUGAAAUCGUUGCUUAUGAGGACAGGAUGAAAAAGCUCAAUGUGGAAUUAAAAAAACUGCAGGGCUUCCACCAGCAGAGCGAGCUAGAGGUGCACGCCUUCGACAAGAAGCUAGAGGAGAUGAGCAACCAGGUGCUGCAGUGGCAGAAACAGCACCAGAACGACCUCAAGAUGCUGGCAGCCAAAGAGAUGCAGCUCAGGGAGUUCCAGGAGGAGAUGACCACGCUGAAGGAGAACCUCCUGGCAGACGAUAAGGAGCCCUGCUGCCUGUCCCAGCGGUCUGUGCCCAAAGACCCAUGUAGGCUCCACCGAGAGAACGACCAGAUCAUGUGCAACAUGGAACAGUGGGCAAAAGAGCAGAAGAUCGCCAACGAGAAACUAGGAAACAAGCUCCGUGAGCAGGUCAAGUACAUCGCCAAGCUGACUGGUGAAAAGGACCACCUGCACAAUGUGAUGGUCCAUCUGCAGCAGGAAAACAAGAAGCUGAAGAGUGAGAUAGAGGAGAAGAUAUUGGCCGGGAACUCAAAGAUGUGCACCAAAGCCCUAGGCCCCAGCAAACUGGAGCCCACCCAGCGAGGGAAAAUGUGUGGCCUCAUGGGCCCAAAAGUGGACAUCACCAAGAUCAUUGGGAUGCCUCACUGCCCAGAUCAUCAGAUGGGAAUUCACAUAGGGAGAAGAAGACAGGUUCCUCAAGACCUCGGUUCAUUUGCUUAGUUAACCUGAACCGGUGAUAACGGUCUCCACUUCUGAUGAUGGAAGAGGCAAAUUAAGACUCAUUCUGACCUAAGAAUUUUGAUGAUAUCCAAGUUCCUCAUAUUGCUAAAAUCAGCACCUUGCCCUGAGCAUCAUUUCCACGCACGUUUGCAGAAGACAGUGAGUUCCUAACCCUCUCUUUUGGCCUGGAUUAGCUCUUACAGAAAUAUGUUAAUGCCCUGGCUUAUUUUGCAAGAUGCUAACAUUUUGUUGAGUUUUGUCCACUUUCCUGCAGUGGAGUAAGCCUAGGAACCAUACUUCCACCUCCAGGUCCAAAUUCUGAAAUAAAGACAUGUGCACAGCA